AUUGAACGCUGGCGGCCGGCUUAACACAUGCAAGUCGAGCGGGGUGAUGGUGCUUGCACUAUCACUUAGCGGCGGACGGGUGAGUAAUGCUUAGGAAUCUGCCUAUUAGUGGGGGACAACAUCUCGAAAGGGAUGCUAAUACCGCAUACGUCCUACGAGAGCGAGCAGGGGAUCACUUGUGACCUUGCGCUAAUAGAUGAGCCUAAGGCGGAUUAGCUAGUUGGUGGGGUAAAGGCCUACCAAGGCGACGAGCUGUAGCGGGUCUGAGAGGAGGAGCCGCCACACUGGGACUGAGACACGGCCAAGACGCCUACGGGAGGCAGCAGUGGGGAAUAUUGGACAAUGGGGGGAACCCUGAUCCAGCCAUGCCGCGUGUGUGAAGAAGGCCUUAUGGUUGUAAAGCAAUUUAAGCGAGGAGGAGGCUCUUUUGGUUAAUACCCAAGAUGAGUGGACGUUACUCGCAGAAUAAGCACCGGCUAACUCUGUGCCAGCAGCCGCCGUAA
Molecule: ribosomal RNA, 503 nt
Filed under: uncultured bacterium
Lineage: Bacteria
Description: partial 16S ribosomal RNA
Rfam family: Bacterial small subunit ribosomal RNA
Source: RNAcentral